This 440-nucleotide ribosomal RNA is filed under the name uncultured Sphingobacteriales bacterium. RNAcentral's name for it is "bacterial SSU rRNA". It matches the Rfam family "Bacterial small subunit ribosomal RNA", at positions 941 to 1382 of the family's 1533-position model. The record is from RNAcentral. Lineage: Bacteria; Pseudomonadati; Bacteroidota; Sphingobacteriia; Sphingobacteriales.
GUUGGUUUAAUUCGAUGAUACGCGAGGAACCUUACCUGGGCUUAAAUGGGGAGUGACAGCUGUCGAAAGAUGGUUUUCUUCGGACACUCUUCAAGGUGCUGCAUGGUUGUCGUCAGCUCGUGCCGUGAGGUGUCGGGUUAAGUCCCAUAACGAGCGCAACCCUUACCGUUAGUUACCAUCAGGUUAAGCUGGGGACUCUAGCGGGACUGCCACCGUAAGGUGAGAGGAAGGUGGGGAUGACGUCAAAUCAGCACGGCCCUUAUGUCCAGGGCUACACACGUGUUACAAUGGCCAGUACAAAGGGCAGCUACCGGGUGACCGGAUGCUAAUCUCUAAAGCUGGUCUCAGUUCGGAUCGAAGUCUGCAACCCGACUUCGUGAAGCUGGAUUCGCUAGUAAUCGCGCAUCAGCCAUGGCGCGGUGAAUACGUUCCCGGGCCUU